RNAcentral lists this ribosomal RNA (915 nucleotides) under Triticum aestivum (bread wheat). RNAcentral's name for it is "partial small subunit ribosomal RNA". The record is from RNAcentral. Lineage: Eukaryota; Viridiplantae; Streptophyta; Magnoliopsida; Poales; Poaceae.
AUGUCGGAGACCACGAACAAGUUGCAGAACUUGCUCGAGUCCGUAAUCCGCCGCCUCGAUGCAAAUCAGAAGACCGCCCACGAGUGUCACCAAGCUCAGAUCGCCUACAACGACCAGGUCUCGGCCGAGAUCAAGCUCCUCUCCAAGCAGAUCGACCUCACACAAGCCGACAUGGACGAGGCCCGCAAGGCUGCGCCGACCGUCGACCCCGCAGCGACCAUCUCCGGAGGCGCGUCUCCAUGGGGCGUCACGGCAACCGCGGACUCCUUCGCGCACCGCCCACCGCCUCCGCCACCGCCACCACCGAUUCGUCCUCCUCCGCUGCCACUCUACACGGAUGGCGCGGCCCAGCUGUCGUUCGCCCGCCUCGUCAACCACGGACCACCGUUGCUCACCGCGCGGUCACCCUCGUCCUCGGAGAUCGAUUGCCACGGCGACCACUACAUCAAGCCGCCCAAACAUGAUUUUCCGCGGUUUGACGGCAACGCCCCUCGCAUCUGGCUGGACCGCUGCACCACCUACUUCGAGCUGUACCGCGUGCCGCAACACAGCUGGGUCACCACCGCGGCGCUGUACAUGGACGGCCUGGCCGCGAUGUGGCUCCAGGCCUAUCGACAGACACACCCAGGGGUCAAUUGGCAAGCAUUCAGAGCUGCAGUACAGGAGGAAUUCGGUCCAGAGGAAUUCGAGGUUCAGAUGCACCACUUUGUUCAGUUACGAUAUACGGGCAGUGUUCAGGAAUAUCGCCAGCAAUUCGAGACAGCGAUGUACCAUUUGGUGGCCUUGGACCCAACGCUGAGCUCCAAAUUCUUCAUAUCUCAGUUCCUGAUCGGUCUCAAAGACGAGCUGCGACUGGGAGUUCGACUGCAAGCACCAACCAGCAUCACUCGCGCCGCCGUGUUCGCCCGCAUUUAG